This 845-nucleotide ribosomal RNA is filed under the name uncultured bacterium. RNAcentral describes it as "bacterial SSU rRNA". It matches the Rfam family "Bacterial small subunit ribosomal RNA", at positions 8 to 850 of the family's 1533-position model. The record is from RNAcentral.
AGAGUUUGAUCCUGGCUCAGAUUGAACGCUGGCGGCAGGCCUAACACAUGCAAGUCGAGCGGUAACAGAUCCAGCUUGCUGGAUGCUGACGAGCGGCGGACGGGUGAGUAAUGCAUAGGAGUUUACCCGAUAGUGGGGGAUAACCUGGGGAAACUCAGGCUAAUACCGCAUACGUCCUACGGGAGAAAGGGGGCUCCGGCUCCCGCUAUCGGAUGAGCCUAUGCCGGAUUAGCUAGUUGGUGAGGUAAUGGCUCACCAAGGCGACGAUCCGUAGCUGGUCUGAGAGGAUGAUCAGCCACAUCGGGACUGAGACACGGCCCGAACUCCUACGGGAGGCAGCAGUGGGGAAUAUUGGACAAUGGGGGCAACCCUGAUCCAGCCAUGCCGCGUGUGUGAAGAAGGCCCUCGGGUUGUAAAGCACUUUCAGUGAGGAAGAACGCCUGAUGGUUAAUACCCGUCAGGAAAGACAUCACUCACAGAAGAAGCACCGGCUAACUCCGUGCCAGCAGCCGCGGUAAUACGGAGGGUGCAAGCGUUAAUCGGAAUUACUGGGCGUAAAGCGCGCGUAGGUGGCUUGAUAAGCCGGUUGUGAAAGCCCCGGGCUCAACCUGGGAACGGCAUCCGGAACUGUCAGGCUAGAGUGCAGGAGAGGAAGGUAGAAUUCCCGGUGUAGCGGUGAAAUGCGUAGAGAUCGGGAGGAAUACCAGUGGCGAAGGCGGCCUUCUGGACUGACACUGACACUGAGGUGCGAAAGCGUGGGUAGCAAACAGGAUUAGAUACCCUGGUAGUCCACGCCGUAAACGAUGUCGACCAGCCGUUGGGUGCCUAGCGCACUUUGUGGCGAA